AGCGAACGCUGGCGGCAGGCUUAACACAUGCAAGUCGAACGCAUCACUUCGGUGGUGAGUGGCAGACGGGUGAGUAACACGUGGGAACGUACCCUUCGAUCUGGGAUAACUUCGGGAAACUGGAGCUAAUACCGGAUACGCCCUUUUGGGGAAAGGUUUACUGUCGAAGGAUCGGCCCGCGUCUGAUUAGCUAGUUGGUGGGGUAACGGCCUACCAAGGCGACGAUCAGUAGCUGGUCUGAGAGGAUGAUCAGCCACACUGGGACUGAGACACGGCCCAGACUCCUACGGGAGGCAGCAGUGGGGAAUAUUGGACAAUGGGCGCAAGCCUGAUCCAGCCAUGCCGCGUGAGUGAUGAAGGCCUUAGGGUUGUAAAGCUCUUUUGUCCGGGACGAUAAUGACGGUACCGGAAGAAUAAGCCCCGGCUAGCUUCGUG
RNAcentral lists this ribosomal RNA (435 nucleotides) under uncultured bacterium. Its description in RNAcentral is "partial 16S ribosomal RNA". It matches the Rfam family "Bacterial small subunit ribosomal RNA", at positions 29 to 507 of the family's 1533-position model. The record is from RNAcentral.